UACGAAGGGGGCUAGCGUUGCUCGGAAUUACUGGGCGUAAAGGGAGCGUAGGCGGAUAGUUCAGUCAGAGGUGAAAGCCCAGGGCUCAACCUUGGAAUUGCCUUUGAUACUGGCUGUCUGAGUAUGGGAGAGGUUAGCGGAACUCCGAGUGUAGAGGUGAAAUUCGUAGAUAUUCGGAAGAACACCAGUGGCGAAGGGCGGACUGAAC
This 208-nucleotide ribosomal RNA is filed under the name uncultured bacterium. RNAcentral's name for it is "partial 16S ribosomal RNA". It matches the Rfam family "Bacterial small subunit ribosomal RNA", at positions 524 to 734 of the family's 1533-position model. The record is from RNAcentral.